Molecule: unclassified non-coding RNA, 277 nt
Filed under: Tylopilus felleus
Lineage: Eukaryota; Fungi; Basidiomycota; Agaricomycetes; Boletales; Boletaceae
Description: partial internal transcribed spacer region
Rfam family: Eukaryotic small subunit ribosomal RNA (bases 1-46)
Source: RNAcentral
AAGUCGUAACAAGGUUUCCGUAGGUGAACCUGCGGAAGGAUCAUUAUCGAAUCGAAUCUCAAAGUCUUGGGAGAGGCGAGGGAUUGUCGCUGGCCGGCGGGUGAUUCCGCCCGGCAUUGUGCACGUCUCUCGUUUGUUCCAUCUCUUUUUCACACCUGUGCACUCAUUGUAGGUCCUCGAGAGAGGAUCUAUGUUUUCAAUCCACCGUCGAUAACGUAUGUUUGUAGAAGGUCAUGAUAAAUUUAUACAACUUUCAGCAAUGGAUCUCUUGGCUCUC